GUCUGUAUGAAGUUACAUAGAGUCUGACCUGCCCAAUGAAUUUUAUUUAAAAGGCCGCAGUAAUUUGACUGUGCAAAGGUAGCAUAAUAAUUAGUUUUUUAAUUGAAGGCUUGUAUGAAUGGUUGGACAAAGAAAAACCUGUCUAUUUGUGUUAUAUUUGAAUUUUACAUUUAAGUGAAAAGGCUUAAAUAAAUUUAAGGGACGAUAAGACCCUAUAAAUCUUUACAUUGUAUUAACUUUUUUUAUAAUUUUAUUAAAAAUUAAUAGUGUUAUGUUGGGGCAACAUAAAUAUAAGAAAUAACUGUUCUAUAAAAUAAACAUUUAUAUAUGGAUAAAAUUUAAAGAUCCUUUUAAAAAGAUUGAAAGUUUAAGUUACUUUAGGGAUAACAGCGUUAUUUUUUUUGAGAGUUCUUAUUGAAAAAAAAGUUUGCGACCUCGAUGUUGAAUUAAAAUUUCUCUAUGGUGCAACAGUUAUAAGAGAGAGUCUGUUCAACUUUUAAAAUUUU
This 506-nucleotide ribosomal RNA is filed under the name Leiogalathea evander. RNAcentral's name for it is "partial 16S large subunit ribosomal RNA". It matches the Rfam family "Archaeal large subunit ribosomal RNA", at positions 1921 to 2666 of the family's 2987-position model. The record is from RNAcentral. Lineage: Eukaryota; Metazoa; Arthropoda; Malacostraca; Decapoda; Munidopsidae.